CUGGCGAGCGCCUGUCAGAGGACCUACAAAAUCUGUGUUAGUGUUGUCUGAGUAUCAUUUAAUAAUUAAAACUUUCAACAACGGAUCUCUUGGUUCUGGCAUCGAUGAAGAACGCAGCGAAAGCGAUAAGUAAUGUGAAUUGCAGAAUUCAGUGAAUCAUCGAAUCUUUGAACGCACAUUGCGCCCUCUGGUAUUCCGGAGGGCAUGCCUGUUCGAGCGUCAUAAGACCACUCAAGCCCAGCUUGGUGUUGGGACGCGCCCCGGCGCUCCUCAAAAUCAGUGGCGGCUCGGCUCAGCUUCAUGCGUAGUAAAAUGUCUCGCUAUGGACGCUGGGCUGGCGCCUGCCAGAAGCCUAAUUUUUACAGGUUGACCUCGGAUCAGGUAGG
This is a ribosomal RNA of 386 nucleotides. The stretch from base 70 to 222 matches the Rfam family "5.8S ribosomal RNA".